This 442-nucleotide ribosomal RNA is filed under the name uncultured bacterium. RNAcentral describes it as "partial 16S ribosomal RNA". It matches the Rfam family "Bacterial small subunit ribosomal RNA", at positions 338 to 795 of the family's 1533-position model. The record is from RNAcentral.
CCUACGGGAGGCAGCAGUGGGGAAUAUUGGGCAAUGGGCGCAAGCCUGACCCAGCAACGCCGCGUGAAGGAAGAAGGCUUUCGGGUUGUAAACUUCUUUUAAGAGGGAAGAGCAGAAGACGGGACCUCUUGAAUAAGCCACGGCUAACUACGUGCCAGCAGCCGCGGUAAUACGUCGGUGGCAAGCGUUGUCCGGAUUUACUGGGUGGAAAGGGCGUGCAGCCGGGAAGACAAGUCAGAUGUGAAAUCCCGCGGCUCAACCGCGGAACGGCAUUGGAAACUGUUUUUCUUGAGUACCGGAGAGGUCAUCGGACUUCCUUGUGUAGCGGUGACAUGCGUAGAUAUCAGGAAGAACACCAGUGGCGACGGCGGAUGACUGGACGGCACCUGACGGUGAGGCGCGAACGCGUGGGGAGCAAACAGGAUUAGAUACCCGAGUAGUC